RNAcentral lists this ribosomal RNA (496 nucleotides) under uncultured bacterium. RNAcentral describes it as "bacterial SSU rRNA". It matches the Rfam family "Bacterial small subunit ribosomal RNA", at positions 24 to 507 of the family's 1533-position model. The record is from RNAcentral.
UCAGGAUGAACGCUAGCGACAGGCCUAACACAUGCAAGUCGAGGGCAGCGAAGAGGUAGCCAAUUACCUUGUCGGCGACCGGCGCACGGGUGAGUAACACGUAUGCAAUCCACCUGUAACAGGGGGAUAACCCGGAGAAAUCCGGACUAAUACCCCAUAAUAUGGGCGCUCCGCAUGGAGAGCCCAUUAAAGAGAGCAAUUUUGGUUACAGACGAGCAUGCGCUCCAUUAGCCAGUUGGCGGGGUAACGGCCCACCAAAGCGACGAUGGAUAGGGGUUCUGAGAGGAAGGUCCCCCACAUUGGAACUGAGACACGGUCCAAACUCCUACGGGAGGCAGCAGUGAGGAAUAUUGGUCAAUGGUCGGCAGACUGAACCAGCCAAGUCGCGUGAGGGAAGACGGCCCUACGGGUUGUAAACCUCUUUUGUCGGAGAGUAAAGUACGCUACGUGUAGUGUAUUGCAAGUAUCCGAAGAAAAAGCAUCGGCUAACUCCGUG